This 74-nucleotide transfer RNA is filed under the name Puniceibacterium antarcticum. RNAcentral's name for it is "tRNA-Thr". The record is from RNAcentral. Lineage: Bacteria; Pseudomonadati; Pseudomonadota; Alphaproteobacteria; Rhodobacterales; Paracoccaceae.
GGAGGAUAGCGCUGGCAGGAACCACACCGUUGGUAAGGGUGAGGUCGGGAGUUCAAUCCUCCUUCACAGCACCA